This 87-nucleotide transfer RNA is filed under the name Paraburkholderia unamae. RNAcentral describes it as "tRNA-Ser". It matches the Rfam family "tRNA". Rfam says of the family: Transfer RNA (tRNA) molecules are approximately 80 nucleotides in length. Their secondary structure includes four short double-helical elements and three loops (D, anti-codon, and T loops). Further hydrogen bonds mediate the characteristic L-shaped molecular structure. tRNAs have two regions of fundamental functional importance: the anti-codon, which is responsible for specific mRNA codon recognition, and the 3' end, to which the tRNAs corresponding amino acid is attached (by aminoacyl-tRNA synthetases). tRNAs cope with the degeneracy of the genetic code in two manners: having more than one tRNA (with a specific anti-codon) for a particular amino acid; and 'wobble' base-pairing, i.e. permitting non-standard base-pairing at the 3rd anti-codon position. The record is from RNAcentral. Lineage: Bacteria; Pseudomonadati; Pseudomonadota; Betaproteobacteria; Burkholderiales; Burkholderiaceae.
GGAAGGUUGCCAGAGAGGCAAUGGGUCGGCUUGCUAAGCCGUAGCCGGUGCUCACGCGCCGCGUGCGUUCGAUCCGCACACCUUCCG